AGUUUGAUCCUGGCUCAGGAUGAACGCUAGCUACAGGCUUAACACAUGCAAGUCGAGGGGCAGCAUUAUCGAAGCUUGCUUUGAUAGAUGGCGACCGGCGCACGGGUGAGUAACGCGUAUCCAACCUUCCCAUGACUCUGGGAUAGCCCAGUGAAAACUGGAUUAAUACCGGAUGUUGUUCAAUUGAGGGCAUCUGACUUGAACCAAAGAUUCAUCGGUCAUGGAUGGGGAUGCGUCCGAUUAGCUUGUUGGCGGGGUAACGGCCCACCAAGGCUACGAUCGGUAGGGGUUCUGAGAGGAAGGUCCCCCACAUUGGAACUGAGACACGGUCCAAACUCCUACGGGAGGCAGCAGUGAGGAAUAUUGGUCAAUGGGCGUGAGCCUGAACCAGCCAAGUAGCGUGCGGGACGACGGCCCUAUGGGUUGUAAACCGCUUUUGCAGGGGAAUAAAGUGGCCCACGUGUGGGUUUUGUAUGUACCCGGAGAAUAAGGACCGGCUAAUUCCGUGCC
This 510-nucleotide ribosomal RNA is filed under the name uncultured organism. Its description in RNAcentral is "SSU rRNA". It matches the Rfam family "Bacterial small subunit ribosomal RNA", at positions 10 to 509 of the family's 1533-position model. The record is from RNAcentral.